AGUGAACGCUGGCGGUAGGCCUAACACAUGCAAGUCGAACGGCAGCACAGUAAGCUCUUGCUCUUACGGGUGGCGAGUGGCGGGUGGGUGAGGAAUACAUCGGCAUCUAAUUUUUCGUGGGGGAUAACGUAGGGAAAGUUACGCUAAUACCGCAUACGACCUACGGCUGAAAGCAGGGGUUCUUGGGACCUUGCGCGAUUGAAUGAGCCGGCGUCGGAUUAGCUAGUUGGUAAGGUAAGGGCCUACCAAGGCAACGAUGCGUAGCUGACCUGAGAGGAUGAUCGGCCACACUGGAACUGAGACACGGUCCAGACUCCUACGGGAGGCAGCAGUAGGGAAUCGUGCGCAAUGGGCGAAAGCCUGACGGAGCAACGCCGCGUGAGUGAUGAAGGUCUUCGGAUCGUAAAACUCUGUUAUUAGGGAAGAACAAAUGUGUAAGUAACUAUGCACGUCUUGACGGUACCUAAUCAGAAAGCCACGGCUAACUACGUG
This 492-nucleotide ribosomal RNA is filed under the name uncultured bacterium. RNAcentral describes it as "partial 16S ribosomal RNA". It matches the Rfam family "Bacterial small subunit ribosomal RNA", at positions 29 to 507 of the family's 1533-position model. The record is from RNAcentral.